UAAGAUAACAGAACUCUACCUUCAUCAUCUCUGGCCACAAUACCUGAGGCUGAGUAUUUCUGGCUUUCUUUGUAUACUCCGUCGAAGUUUAUCUUUAUGAAAUCGCGAUUGCGCAGCAGAAUAAACAACUUUGCCAAGGGUUGAGCUAUUCUAACACCCAGGGCAUUCUCGAAAUAGGUGGUCCAUUGUUUCAGCUCUUUCACCACAUCUGGGGCAGUUUGUGUUUGCUGAUAAUUUCCUGUGUUGUAAAUUCACUUUUGUAGGCAAAAAGUUCCAUGAUAGUCUCCAUAUUGUAAUCUUUAUCUUUGUUGGUAAAUUCAGGCUCCAAAGUUUUUUGUAGAAUUUCCUGUAGUUGGUUUGUAAAGCAUAAGCUCUAGGAUUUUCAUCCGAAUUCUGUAAUAGUUUAUAGGCACUUCGGACCGUGAAUUCACCCGAUGAUUCUCCUCCCCAAAUAAGGAAAUCCUCAUGAGGAGUACGUGCCAGAGGGAUUCGAAGAAUUCUUGCAGCCUCUUCUUCUGUGAAGGUAUUGUUAAUCAGCUCCCUCUUCCAAAGCCUUUUA
Gossypium raimondii (Peruvian cotton) is the source of this 559-nucleotide long non-coding RNA. RefSeq lists it as uncharacterized. The record is from RefSeq and is a predicted model, not a curated record. The transcript has 3 exons. NCBI's taxonomy places the organism in Eukaryota, Viridiplantae, Streptophyta, Magnoliopsida, Malvales, Malvaceae.